Long non-coding RNA from Drosophila novamexicana, 957 nucleotides. RefSeq lists it as uncharacterized. The record is from RefSeq and is a predicted model, not a curated record. Lineage: Eukaryota; Metazoa; Arthropoda; Insecta; Diptera; Drosophilidae. The transcript is spliced from 3 exons.
GAAGGCACAUUUGGAGAACGGAAAAUGUGGAAAAAUAUUCAAGUUUUAAGUUUUCUUUAUUUUGAAGUUAUUGAAGUUCUUCGAAAUUGCAAUGUCAGGACGUUGAAAUAAUGCACAAAAAGGAGCUUGUGAAGUUUGUCGCUCAUCAAGAAACAUGCUUCGUCUUCUUGCCUUAGAUGGAUCGGAACUAUGCUAUAUGUGAGCCAAAUCUUAUCAAGAUCGCACGAAUCGAUUGGAAGAUGGGUUAGCGUCUGAAGAGAUAUUGUCAUUUAUGAAAAUCUUCUGAUAAGCAAAAUCGAAUCAACAUCGGAAUAGAUCAUCUAUAAGCCACACAUCUGCACAAGAGUAUUUAAUCUUCGGCUUGGCAUUCGUUUCUCUUGCAUUACGUUUGGUUUUUAGAGCCGAACCUCUUGAAACUCGCCCAAAGGAUCUAACAAUAAUGCGAAUCUUAUAUUUGUCUUAUAAUACUUGGCUAUCGUAUAGAAAGAAGCAACUGCGAGCUUUUCAAAUAAGUAUAUCAAAAUUCUCAAUCAACAAUUGGCCAACUGAGUCGAUCGAUGGACGAGUGAAACGACGAUCAAUGCAAAAAACGGCAGCCGAUUUUAUAAAUACCUCGUAAUAUUGAAAACAAUCCAUAUUGAGACAUUCGUUAUUUUCUACACCAAAACUUCGAUACACUACCUUAUUUCCGACAAAAUGAAAACAAAGCUUUCGCAAAACAGAUCAAAAAGCGCAGACAUUAAGCAACAGCUAGAAGAAGCACAGCGGCUGUGUGUGCGUGUGUGUGUGUGUGUGUGAGGAAGUGCGAAUGUUUUGGGAGCUAUUGGUUAAAUCCAGGGUAUCUGCUAGUCGUAAGUGCUCGACUAGAGCACUUUUGUAUUUGGUUUUCGACUGGGCGGGCUUAUACUUCCUUGAGCUCUCCUUCUAUUUGGUUCUUCUCUUUCAUUUUAUUUUUCU